Molecule: transfer RNA, 62 nt
Filed under: Apatides fortis
Lineage: Eukaryota; Metazoa; Arthropoda; Insecta; Coleoptera; Bostrichidae
Description: tRNA-Thr
Rfam family: tRNA
About the family: Transfer RNA (tRNA) molecules are approximately 80 nucleotides in length. Their secondary structure includes four short double-helical elements and three loops (D, anti-codon, and T loops).
Source: RNAcentral
GUUUUAAUAGUUUAAAAAAAACGUUGGUCUUGUAAACCAAAAUUAAUUAAUAUUUUAAAACA